GUCUUUAAGAAAUUAAUUUAAAGUCUAAUCUGCCCACUGAAUUAAAUUUAAAUGGCUGCAGAAUUUUAACUGUACAAAGGUAGCAUAAUAACUUGUUUUUUAAUUAAAAACUAGAAUGAAAGAUUAAAUGAGAUAUAAACUGUUUCAAAUAAAUUAUUAUUAAAUUUUUUAUUUAAGUAAAAAAACUUAAAUAAUUUUUAAAGACGAUAAGACCCUAUAGAAUUUUAUUUAUAAAAAUUAAUUUUUUUAAUUUUUAUAAAUUUUAUUGGGGAAAUAAAAAAAUUAAAUAAAUUUUUUUUAAAUAAAACAUUUAUUAAUGAUUUAUUUAUCUUAAUUUUUAAAUUAAAAAAAUUAAUUACCUUAGGGAUAACAGCAUAAUUUUUUUUAAAAGAUCAUAUUAAUAAAAAAUUUUAU
Molecule: ribosomal RNA, 414 nt
Filed under: Bicarinibracon tricolor
Lineage: Eukaryota; Metazoa; Arthropoda; Insecta; Hymenoptera; Braconidae
Description: partial 16S ribosomal RNA
Source: RNAcentral